RNAcentral lists this long non-coding RNA (4949 nucleotides) under Sus scrofa (pig). RNAcentral describes it as "lncRNA (ENSSSCG00065006546.1)". Lineage: Eukaryota; Metazoa; Chordata; Mammalia; Artiodactyla; Suidae. The record is from RNAcentral.
UUUCAAUUAUACAAAGCAAAAUUUUCCUUUGGGCUUAAACCAGUUUGAACUGUGUUUAUGUUCCAUCAUUUACAACUCAAAGAAUCUUUCUUAACAGAAAGAAGUAUCAAGGAUGGUACCCCGGCCAACAGUUAGGUAUUUUUCUCUUUGCAGAGUUGAGCUUUGUGCAGUACAGAAUUCACUGUUGAAUGGACUGUAGACAUGCCUGGGAUAAAGAAAGCAACAAGGGUCUCUGUAUCUUGAGGCUCCUUGCCUGGCAGGGAAUUCAGCCCUGAAUGUGGCCAUAAUACAAUAAACUAACAGCAUGAGACAGUGCUUCAUAAACUUAAGUCACCAGUAUUCCAUCUCGGAGAUGUUUUUGGGACGUAUUCACCAGUAGAUCUUAUAAUUACUUGCUUGUUAAAUUUUUAUACUAUUGUAAUCAUGCAGCAUUUAUGAAUAAUACAUGCUGUCAUUUAGGGGACACGUAUCAUUUCAAUUGUAUUAAAAUAACUAUACAUGGGUAGCGAAAUAAAAACAGCGUCCAUCCACGUGUUAACUAAAAUCUUCUUACCUCUGCCAGUGAUAGGCACCUUAAACUCUGAAAAAUUAAUAUGCAAUAUGCACAUAUAAGGUUUUACAGGAGAACAAGAGAAGGUGAGAGGGCCCCCUGAGCAGAUUCACAUUUUGGAAGAAUCACUUUGGCAGAAGAGGGACAGGCAGUUUGAGGGAAUGAGUGUGAGGCUGCAAUUCCUCUUAAAAUGCUACUGAAAAAUGCCUGUGAGAAUCAUCCAAGGUACUUCUAAGAUGGCAUUGGUGGGAAUGGAUCCAGAGAUGUUUAAGGGCUAGAAUCAUCAAGGCUUGGUGCCUGCUCUGAGUGAAGUGAACACAUACUAAGAGUUUAGUUGAUUAGGCUAAUGCUAGUGUGCCAUUUAGUAGAGCAGGAGAUCAGAAGGAAGAGAAAGCAUAGGGAUGAGUUAGGGGAGGUUAAAAAUAGUUUCUGGGAAAAAAAGCACUUCAUCGAUUUAUGGUAGAGCAGGUGGAAGGUCUUACAGACAAUAUAGACCGGAUUCCUGAAAACUCUGUUUGCAAAACCAAAACUUGUGCUCCAAUAUGGAUGGCAACAGGAAAGAAUCAGGAAUUCCAAGUAGCAAGAAAAAGCUUUCAUAACUCUGUAUGGUGACAGAUGUUAAUGAAACUUAUUUUAGUGACUGUUUCACAAUAAAUACACAGAUUGAAUCAUUAUGCUGUACAUCUGAAACAAAUACAAUGUUUUAUGUCAAUUACACCUUAAUGACUUAAAAUAAAAUUCCCUUCUCUGAUGCCCACCAACCCAGUUUAUUUCCCCUUCCCCAAGGUUAAUGACUAGUAUGAACUUGUAUGCCUUUCAAGUUCAUCCUUUAAAAAAAUUGAUUAUGCAGUAUUUCAUAAGUAUAAAAUCUUUAUGAAGGAUAAUAUUAUAAAUACACGUGCAUGUCACCACCACUUAAAAAACAAAACUCUCUUUCCCAGGAAGGCAUAACCCCUCGUUGUGAGCUGUGAUUUUCUAUCCUUUUUCAGAACAACUAUUGUUCAGGUUUCUACAUUGUUUAGAACUUUAAAUAUCAUCCUAAACUGUAAUCUAUAGCUUGCCUUUUUCACUCAAAAUUUUGUCCCCGAGAUUAAUUCACUGCAUUCAUAUAGAUGUAAUUAGUUGUUUUACUGCUACAUAGUCCUUUUUGUGUCUUCCACAAUUUUUGCUGUUUUCGUAUUGAUGGGUAGUAGAGUUUAUUAUUAACAUUAUUAUUUUUUAUUGAGUUUUAUCGGAGUAUAGGUGGCUUACAAGGUUGUGUUAGUUUCAGGUGCACAGCAAAGUGAAUCAGCCGUGCAUACACAUACAUAUCCAUUAGUGGUCAGAUUCUGAUCCUAUACAGACUAUCGCAGAGUGUUGAAUAGAUCUCCCCAGGCUAUAUAGUAGGUCCCUGUUACUGAUCGAUUUCAGAUAAGGACGUUCUUGCAUAUAUCUCUUCAGACACAGCAAGCAAAGUUUAUCUAGGAUGAAAUUGCUGAGUCACGGUAUCCUUGCAUCUUAAAACUUUACAGUUGGUAAGGAAUUGCUCUCCAAAGCAGUUGUACUAAUUGACACUCUUCCCAAGAGAAAAUGAGCUUUCCUCUUGUUCCAUAGCCCUCCCCAAACUUGCAAUUGUUAAAUUUUAAAUGUUUUGCCCAUCUAAGAGGUGUUAAAAUGGCCAUUUCCUUGUAAAUUUUAGCUUUCUUCUCCCCAGAUUACUCAUGCCUUGGAUCAUCUUUGCUGCAUUUUUUUUUUUUUUUUUUUUUUGGCUGGUAUGUUUUCAUUUUUUCAGAACAACAUCUGUUCAUGUCUUUGGCCAUUUUUCUACUAGGUAGCUUGUUUUGUUUUUCUUACUGAUUCCAGGAAUUAUUAAAUGAAUCCCCAAAUGUGAAAUCUUAGUGGAAACAUUUAUAUGGGAAUCAAGAGAGUCCUUUGGAAAGAUGAACACAAAAAUAUUAGAAAUGAUUGGCCAGUGGGGACCUGCCGUAGAGCACAGAAAACUCUACCCAGUAUUCUCUGAUAAUCAGUGUGUGGAAAGAAUCUGAGAGAGAAUGGAUGUGUGUUUAUGUAUGACUGGGUCACUUUUUGGUAUAGCAGAAAUUAUCCCAGCCUUGUAAAUUAACUAUACUUUAAUAAAACUUUUACAAACAUUUAAAAACUAAAAAAGUACUAGAAUAAAUAUUGUUCGGUAUCUCGGGUGUAUAGCUCUACACACCUAUGGAGGCAAGUUUACACAUUGUGACAAAACACACAUUGCUUCCAUGUAUUUCUGGUGUUAAUAACAAGUCCCUUGCCCUCAUUAAAUCAUCAGCCACAUUUCCUUAUUUUGUUUUUUCAUCAGUCUCCAUCUCCUGCUCCAUGGCCCCAGCCUGCUCCAAGCUGGUCCUUGCCAAACUCUUUUAUCAGAGCAGAUACAUCAAAUGCUCAGUGUGUAUCCUUAUGGUGGCUUUUAACCCAACAGCUCAGGCAAGAAUGUUCUGGGUGUGGGGGCAAGGUUCCUAUCGUCACCAAAAUUAAAAUCUCUGUCAUUUUAUUGAGCACCUACAAUGUGUCAGAUGAUAUACUGCACAAGAGGCAUUAGACGAAAAAAGAUGUUUAAUUCCAAUUUAUAGAUCAUUGAUCUGAAACCGGAAAGGUCAGAGAGUCUCUCUGUGCUCCCAGGCAGGGUCUGGACUUGUACCCAGCCCUUUCUGACAUUUAACACGAUGCUGCCCACUACAAAGAGUAGAUCUGUGGGAUGCAGUUGCUACCAUGUAUCCUAGUCAGAUACGAUAUUUUUUCAAUCAUUCUGCCUGCGAUUUCUCUGAGCUAUUUUUUAAAGGACUGAAAAAUCCUGCUUUGCUGGCUCGAUCUUCAUGGGGUGUAUUUUCAAGGUUGUGUCUGUUUAGCUGAGGCUGUGCUCCAACCAUCCCACAACGAGACAUGUGAAUCAAAAGUCCUUUUUAUUGAUCUUCCAAGACAGAGGGCUGGAGAGAUGUUCCUUCUGGUCUGAUCUCUGCUGGACUCUCAUGUAUCAGUGGUCGGCUGAGGGACAAGCUGGUUUCUGGACGUUGGAUGGUCUCACGGGUGUUUCUGGCAGCGGGCUGUCCUAAUGUGGUUUCCACAGGCUAGCUGGGGCUCUUUCAUAUGGUAAUCUUAGGAUUCCAAGAACAGCAAGUGGGCAAGCCCUACCCACAAGUGCUUUUAAACUUCUGGCUAAUACCCUAUUCGCCAAAGCAAGUCACAGGGCCACCUUAUUUUCACAGGAUGGACAAAUACAAACACUUCACUCUGUCCCAUAGCAAAGCAGAUGGCAUUCAAGCACGGGGAGAUAUUGGAGCCAUUUGCAAACUAUGACAAUUAUGAUUUGCUAUUUUUGUUUGUUUGUUUUAUUUGCUGUUUUGCACUUUCUGGAAAUCAUGAAGUGGUGACAAUCUUUCAAGUGAACAUGCCUUCUGCAAAUGUUCAAAGACUGCUUUCUACAGAUGUCUUCUGUGGGGUGUCACAAACCCCUCUGGCUUCAGUUAGAAAAAGAACAUUUUCAGGUCUUAGUGUUGAUGGGAAAUCUCUAAUUAUUCAUGAGCCAUUUGUUUCUCAUGUCACCUCAAAUGUCCCACCCCUCCAUCCCAUCUCCUGCAGAAUAUCACAACUGGGAUCAAAAUCUCUCUGCUGCUUAUUGUACUGUGAUUCUGUUGUUUUAUUGACUUAAACUCACUUAGGUGGAUACUACCUUAGAGGUGGUGUUAAUACCUUCACUAAAGCUCCAGGAAUGAUUUUAAAAUAAUAGCCUCUGAACAGGGUGUAUAUAUAUAUAUACANAUACUUUCUCGAUUAUUCUGGAAUUCCGGCAUCUGUACCUCCUUAUUAACCAGAACCUCGUGCUUCAUUGAUGUAAGAAAAACAAAUGGACACACACACACACACACACACACCUACUAUAUAACUUCCAAAUUAUGCCAUAAAAUUGAUACAUAUUUCAUCUACUUACAAGGAAAUGGCAUGUGAGAAAAUUGUUUAUAUAAAUUGAUUUAGAUGCAAAGAUACUGGUUUACCAAUAAGUGGCUGAGCAAACCUAUCUGAACUAAAUGUAUGUAAUCUAAAAAAAGCUCCCAGGCUAGGGGUCGAAUCAGAGCUACAGCUGCCGGCCUACACCACAGCCACAGCAAUGUGGGAUCCGAGCAGCAUCUGCCACCCACACCACAGCUCAUGGCAUUGCAUGAUCCUCAACCCACUGAGCGAGGCCAGGGAUUGAACCCAAGUCCUCAUGGAUACUAGUUGGGUUUGUUAACCACUGAGCCAUGAUGGGAACUCCCAAUUUUAAGCUCUUAAAUUCACCUGUACAAACCUCUUUGGGCACGUAUCGCCCACCAGACACUGGGAUCCCCGGUGCUGUGGAAACUGAAUCUGACAUUAAUGGGAUUUUUACAAAGACAAAAAAAAA